GGUGUGUUCAUGAUGGUCUGGCUUUAAACUCUGCCGAGAAGGCAGAUCUGAUAUCUUACACU
Molecule: non-coding RNA, 62 nt
Organism: Takifugu rubripes (torafugu)
Lineage: Eukaryota; Metazoa; Chordata; Actinopteri; Tetraodontiformes; Tetraodontidae
Source: Rfam